GACGAACGCUGGCGGCGUGCUUAACACAUGCAAGUCGAACGGAAAGGCCCUGCUUUUGUGGGGUGCUCGAGUGGCGAACGGGUGAGUAACACGUGAGUAACCUGCCCUUGACUUUGGGAUAACUUCAGGAAACUGGGGCUAAUACCGGAUAGGAGCUCCUGCUGCAUGGUGGGGGUUGGAAAGUUUCGGCGGUUGGGGAUGGACUCGCGGCUUAUCAGCUUGUUGGUGGGGUAGUGGCUUACCAAGGCUUUGACGGGUAGCCGGCCUGAGAGGGUGACCGGCCAAAUUGGGACUGAGAUACGGCCCGGACUCCUACGGGAGGGAGAAGUGGGGAAUAUUGCACAAUGGGCGGAAGCAUGAUGCAGCAACGCCGCGUGCGGGAUGACGGCCUUCGGGUUGUGAACCGCUUUCGCCUGUGACGAAGCGUGAGUGACGGUAAUGGGUAAAGAAGCACCGGCUAACUACGUG
Molecule: ribosomal RNA, 468 nt
Filed under: uncultured bacterium
Lineage: Bacteria
Description: partial 16S ribosomal RNA
Rfam family: Bacterial small subunit ribosomal RNA
Source: RNAcentral